GAGGGACCACCCUCCAAGGCUAAAUACUACCUAGUGACCGAUAGCGUAUAGUACCGUGAGGGAAAGGUGAAAAGAACCCCGGGAGGGGAGUGAAAUAGAACCUGAAACCCUGCACUUACAAGCUGUGGAAGCACAUUUCUUGUGUGACCGCGUACUUUUUGUAGAACGGGCCAACGAGUUACGUUAAGUAGCAAGGUUAAGCACUUAAGGUGUGGAGCCGUAGCGAAAGCGAGUUUUAACUGAGCGUUCAGUUACUUGACGUAGACCCGAAACCGGGCGACCUACCCAUGAGCAGGAUGAAGCGAAAGUAAAAUUUCGUGGAGGUCCGAACCCACGAGCGUUGAAAAGCUCGGGGAUGACUUGUGGGUAGCGGUGAAAUUCCAAUCGAGCCCGGAGAUAGCUGGUUCUCCCCGAAAUAGCUUUAGGGCUAGCCUCAAGGUGAGAGAUACGGAGGUAGAGCACUGAAUGUCCUAGGGGGUAUUGCACCUACCGAAGACUAUCAAACUCCGAAUGCCGUCAUCUUAUACUUGGGAGUCAGACUGUGGGUGAUAAGAUUCAUAGUCGAAAGGGCAACAGCCCAGAUCGUCAGCUAAGGUCCCUAAAUGUAAGUUAAGUGGUAAAGGAUGUGGGAUUGCACAGACAACCAGGAUGUUGGCUUAGAAGCAGCCACUCAUUCAAAGAGUGCGUAAUAGCUCACUGGUCGAGUGAUCCUGCGCCGAAGAUUUCCGGGGCUAAAACUUACUACCGAAGCUACGGCAUCAGUAAUGAUGGGUAGGGGAGCUUCCCAUACGGGUUGAAGCAUGACCGUAAGGACAUGUGGACAGUAUGGGAGUGAGAAUGUUGGCAUGAGUAGCGAGAUGUGGGUGAGAAUCCCACAGGCCGUAAACCCAAGGUUUCCAGGGGAAGGUUCGUCCGCCCUGGGUUAGUCGGGACCUAAGCUGAGGCCGAAAGGCGUAGGUGAUGGACAACAGGUUGAUAUUCCUGUACUACCGAUAACCGUUUGAGAGAAGGGAUGACACAGUAGGAUAAGCUAAGCACACUGUUGGUUAUGUGUGCCCAAGCAUUGAGGCAGUCAAAGUAGGCAAAUCCGCUUUGAUAAUGCUGGGAUGUGAUGGGGAGCGAAAUUUAGUAGCGAAGUAGCUGAUUUCACACUGUCAAGAAAAGUCUCUAUCGAGGUUAAAGGUACCCGUACCGCAAACCGACACAGGUGGGUGAGGAGAGUAUCCUAAGGCCAGCGAGAGAACUGUUGUUAAGGAACUCGGCAAAAUGACCCCGUAACUUAGGGAUAAGGGGUGCCACCAUCAGGUGGCCGCAGAGAAUAGGCCCAAGCGACUGUUUACCAAAAACAUAGGUUUCUGCUAAGUCGCAAGACGAUGUAUAGGAGCUGACGCCUGCCCGGUGCUGGAAGGUUAAGGGGAUCUGUUAGAGCAAUCGAAGCAGUGAACUUAAGCCCCAGUAAACGGCGGCCGUAACUAUAACGGUCCUAAGGUAGCGAAAUUCCUUGUCGGGUAAGUUCCGACCCGCACGAAAGGCGUAACGAUUUGGGCACUGUCUCAACAACAGACUCGGUGAAAUUGUAAUUCCGGUGAAGAUGCCGGAUACCUGCGACAGGACGGAAAGACCCCAUGGAGCUUUACUGUAGCUUGACAUUGGGUCUUGGUACUACAUGUACAGGAUAGGUGGGAGGCUUUGAAACCAGGACGCCAGUUUUGGCGGAGCCAUCCUUGGGAUACCACCCUUGUAGUACUGGGACUCUAACCAUAGGCCAUGAAUCUGGUCUUGGGACACUGUCAGGUGGGCAGUUUGACUGGGGCGGUCGCCUCCCAAAAGGUAACGGAGGCGCUCAAAGGUUCUCUCAGUACGGUCGGAAAUCGUACGUAGAGUGUAAAGGCAAAAGAGAGCUUGAUUGCAAGACAUACAGGUCGAGCAAGGAUGAAAAUCGGACUUAGUGAUCCGGUGGUUCUGCGUGGAAGGGCCAUCGCUCAACGGAUAAAAGCUACCCUGGGGAUAACAGGCUUAUCUCCCCCAAGAGUCCACAUCGACGGGGAGGUUUGGCACCUCGAUGUCGGCUCAUCACAUCCUGGGGCUGUAGUAGGUCCCAAGGGUUGGGCUGUUCGCCCAUUAAAGUGGUACGCGAGCUGGGUUCAGAACGUCGUGAGACAGUUCGGUCCCUAUCCGUCGCAGGCGUAGGAAAUUUGAGAAGACCUGUCCUUAGUACGAGAGGACCGGGAUGGACGUACCUCUGGUGUACCAGUUGUUCUGCCAAGGGCAUGGCUGGGUAGCUAUGUACGGAAUGGAUAAGCGCUGAAAGCAUCUAAGCGCGAAGCCAACUUCAAGAUAAGAUUUCCCACCGCAAGGGUAAGACCCCAGAAAGACUAUCUGGUUGA
RNAcentral lists this ribosomal RNA (2387 nucleotides) under Clostridioides difficile. Its description in RNAcentral is "bacterial LSU rRNA". It matches the Rfam family "Bacterial large subunit ribosomal RNA", at positions 447 to 2856 of the family's 2925-position model. Lineage: Bacteria; Bacillati; Bacillota; Clostridia; Peptostreptococcales; Peptostreptococcaceae. The record is from RNAcentral.